This 544-nucleotide ribosomal RNA is filed under the name uncultured bacterium. Its description in RNAcentral is "bacterial SSU rRNA". It matches the Rfam family "Bacterial small subunit ribosomal RNA", at positions 8 to 526 of the family's 1533-position model. The record is from RNAcentral.
AGGGUUUGAUCAUGGCUCAGGACGAACGCUGGCGGCGUGCCUAAUACAUGCAAGUGGAACGCAUGAUUGAUACCGGAGCUUGCUCCACCAUUAAUCAUGAGUCGCGAACGGGUGAGUAACGCAUAGGUAACCUACCUCAUAGCGGGGGAUAACUAUUGGAAACGAUAGCUAAUACCGCAUAACAGUAUUUAUCGCAUGGUAAAUGCUUGAAAGGAGCAACUGCUUCACUAUGAGAUGGACCUGCGUUGUAUUAGCUAGUUGGUGGGGUAACGGCUCACCAAGACAUCGAUACAUAGCCGACCUGAGAGGGUGAUCGGCCACACUGGGACUGAGGCACGGCCCAGACUCCUACGGGAGGCAGCAGUAGGGAAUCUUCGGCAAUGGGGGGAACCCUGACCGAGCAACGCCGCGUGAGUGAAGAAGGUUUUCGGAUCGUAAAGCUCUGUUGUAAGAGAAGAACGUGUGUGAGAGUGGAAAGUUCACACAGUGACGGUAACUUACCAGAAAGGGACGGCUAACUACGUGCCAGCCGCCGCGGUAAUAC